UGGCUCAGUUGGUAGAGCACGGCGCUUGCAACGCCAGGGUUGUGGGUUCGAUUCCCAC
Molecule: transfer RNA, 58 nt
Filed under: Salmo salar (Atlantic salmon)
Lineage: Eukaryota; Metazoa; Chordata; Actinopteri; Salmoniformes; Salmonidae
Also listed under: 1 other name
Rfam family: tRNA
About the family: Transfer RNA (tRNA) molecules are approximately 80 nucleotides in length.
Source: Rfam by way of RNAcentral